UCAACGCUGCAUCAGUGCAGGUAGGGGAUUGAGCUCGAGCUAGCUCGAAUAAAGGCUCUUUUGCUUGUACAUCGGACUCGGCUCCCUGGCGGUAUUUGCGGAUCACGAAUUCUGGGCAUAACACACAUGACAUGAGUAUUAAUUUAUUCUCAAUACCAGCUAGCUCUGGUUCUUUAAUUACCUUUUUCUGUCAUGGAAGAUUGAUGAGGGAGCAUGGGGCAAGUUGAGGGCAAAAUACAAGUUAGCACACGCCCCCGCCCCAGGUGGGAUAUGUGUGAUUCUGGCUGCUCCAGGACAAAGGAAAGGAAAGAAAACAAAUGGUUAACUGAUAGAGAUCUCAGUCGGGCAAGACAGGAGUUUCCAUCAGUUUACAAAUAUCUUAGUAAACUACAAGAAAAAGGCCAUCUUUUUCUCCUUUUUCCAGUAUGAAAGAUUCUUGGGGACAGUCCCUGUCUAUUCUUUGUACCCCCAGUACUUAGUACAUUGUCGACAUAGAGUGCGCGUGGAAAGGAUUGUUUUUCAAUGAAUUCAUUCAUUCUUAUCAACGGAUUCCACCCUAUUUUGUCCUGUAUUGCCUACAUAACUAUGAAAUUCAGAUUCUUAGAAGAGACUCUUGGUGUCAUAAGAUGCUUAGUAGAGGUGGUGAGUUUUAAGACAUUGUAUUGACACCACUAAAACCUCUUGGUGGCGAAACUCAAUGAGCCCGUUCUCUGGCAUGCUGGCAAAACAAAAAACUGACCCUCAGUAUUCUUUCCCCAAGUCAGGCAUCAGCAAAUUAAUGAGAGGAGAGAGGAGGCCCCUGCUCUUGGGCACCCGCAGGAACUUACUCCAGCUCCAGACACACCGUAAACACUUUCAUCUAACGGAAGAUAAGCUGUGAAAUCGGAUUUCUGAACCACAAGACAGUAAGACAGUCUUUUCCAGCGUCUGCUUUAGAGGAGGGUCUUCAACCUUGAGUCUAAACAUCCCCCUCAGGCCACUGAACAUGCCCAGUAUGAUUUGCCUUUUUACAGAGAAAUCACAGAAUGUUCCGGCUGAAAGGGAAUAACACACUUCUUACUUGAAGAGUGGUCAGGAAAGAAAGCACAUGGAGAGCAGUGCCCUGUGGCAGGUAUUCAGGAGUUCUUCCUGCUUUCCUGAUGGCUGAGGAAGCACCCACACCUGUUGCUGCCUGGAGAACUCUGUGCUAAACUUAGUUCUUCGAAGUUCUCUUUUGCAUAGGAAACUUGCACAUGAGCCGGAAUCAAAGUUAAAUUCAAAAGUGGAUUUCAAGGACCAUGCACACCUUGGGGAAGCAUCACUGUCACGAAUUCCCAUGAUAAUACUGACUUGGGUGUUACUUGCUUGGGGCUUUCACUGCCCACACAAAGCUGGGUACGAGGGAGGGCAGAGAGUGCCAUUUAGGAGUUAAGACAAGUCUCUUGGCCUCUUUGUACCUUAGUUUCCUCAUUUGAAAAAAAAAAUGGAUUUUAAGACCUACUUUCCAGAAUUCAUACUGGGUUUAUUAACACACACCUAACCAGUCACUGUAUGAUAUUUUUACAUGUAGUUUUUUUUUUUUUUUACAUGUAUUCAUUUUCUAUUUCACUUACAGCUUGUGUAAAAACUGCAUUCCAUGCCAGGCCUGAAAUGUUCCAAAGCUCAGUUCGCUAUCGGCAUCCCAGGUGGUGCAAUUAAUAAAGAGCUAGCGGGGGGCCACUGGCACAAACAAGGCAGCUCCUUAGAACCUGAACUUCCUAUUUGUUCCAUUCUUUGGGUAGAUAACGCCUGUUAAUUACUCUGGAGGUAAGUAUUUUUUUCCCCCAAAUCCCUUAUGUGUCUAAAAUGGUUCCUUCCACAAAUCAAUGAGAAAAUAAGAAUUCAACGAAAAAAAUGGUAAAAAAUGUACCAUUAUCAGCAAACAAAUGUAAAGAAGCCCUCUACUGAAACCUCUCUAGGUGUUAGAAGGAUAAGGGCAGUUAGAAAUUAGAAUAACUAACAUGGAAAGAUUUCUUAGACAUAUUGCAUAGGGAAAAGCAACAAAUCACUGGGCAAGGAAUUAAAAAGUAUCCCCCCAUUAGGAAAUUAGGAAAAAAUGCAAAGGAAAGAGAUGGGAAGGACGGACACACACCAAAAAGGUGACCGGAGUUAUCUUAUGAGUGGUAGGGAGGGGGGGGUGGUGGGAUUUUCACGUUUUAUCCUCUAUACCUGUGACAUUAAAAACAAAAAAAAGUAUCCAUGAUAAUUCAUGUAUCCAUGAAUUACACAUGUUUAAAAGAAGCUAUUAAAUGCCUGAGGUUCAGUUUCAACCGCUACCUCUGCGUAUGACUUUGAACCUUUACCUGUAGUUUUGUCCUCUUCCCUCAGCAACAGCUUACCUGGUCAGUUUAUAUACACAUUUUUUUCAGGGGAGUCAGGAAUAAAUUCAAAACAGAUACCCAUCUGCCCAUGUGCCUGGUGGACAUUUCCAGUCAACCUGAAGCCUUCUGGUUGCUCUAUGUGCCCUGGUAAAAGAUGCCUCAACUUCCAUCAUUCUCCUUAUCUGGGACAGAAGUUUCAGAGUAAUAUCUGAGUUUUCUCUUUCCCGUGCACACCCCACCCGCGACUGUCAUCAGUUAGUCUAUUUUGUCACUUCCUCCUCUGCAGUGCUCUCAAGGCUUUUCUUUCUACUCUUUUCAGCCACUCUGAUUCGGCCCCUUGUUACUUGACUCCCAGGUUUUGUUAGAACAUUCUAUCUGGUCUCGCUGGAUCAAGCUCUCCUCUCCAGACCGCCCUACAUGGGGAACUGAAAAUAAUCCUCUUGUUUCAAUGGUCUGUAUCUCAUGCUUGAAAACUUUCAAUGGCUCUCUAUAACUCAGAAUGUAACGUUCAAACCUCUCUAGCUGAUAGUCAAGGUUUCUCGUAAUUGGAUCUUUAACUGCUAAACCUAAUUCUUGACUCCUGAUCAUUCCUGCAGCCGUGCCUUUGCCUAGACUUAUACCCAUUUUUUCUCUACUUAACACAUCAGAGCCACUCUUUAAGUCUCAGCUAAAGUGUUAGCUUAUCCAUGCAGCUCUCCCUGACCUCCAUACUCCACUGAUUACAGAGUCUGCUGAAUUCCAACACCCAUGGUACCUCUUUUAGUACUUAGUUACAUGCCACCUCCCUUUUUAUGACCAUUUCCUUUCUUCCCACCUGUCAUUUCAUGUUCUGAAGACGAUUGCAUCCUCGUGUGGCGCCCAUAGUACUUACUCUUGGGUUGGGCCCAAACUGAGUACUGUAUGUGGAAGGCCGGGGGUCAAAGAUGAGGUCUGGGGAAUCAAAAUAAUAACAGCUAACACUCAUAUUUUGCCAGGCACUGAUCCAAGUGCUUCAUAUGUAUUACCUCAUCUAGAUCUCACAAUAAUCCCAUGAGAUGGUAACUAUCAUAAUUUCCAUUUCACAGAAAAGGAAACUGAGUCACAAAGCUACUAGAUGACAGACCUCGGCCCAAAUGCAGGCAAUCUAGUUCCAGAAUCUCUACUCUUCACUACUCUGUUGUAUCCUAUUAUAGAGGAUGGAGCAAAAAUGGGAGAGUAGAGGUUAAGGAAUGAAAUAAUGGGGCUAAAGAUUGGAUAAG
Molecule: long non-coding RNA, 3577 nt
Organism: Felis catus (domestic cat)
Lineage: Eukaryota; Metazoa; Chordata; Mammalia; Carnivora; Felidae
Exons: 2
Source: RefSeq, a predicted model, not a curated record